GACGAACGCUGGCGGCGUGCCUAAUACAUGCAAGUAGAACGCUGAAGGAGGAGCUUGCUUCUCUGGAUGAGUUGCGAACGGGUGAGUAACGCGUAGGUAACCUGCCUGGUAGCGGGGGAUAACUAUUGGAAACGAUAGCUAAUACCGCAUAAGAGUAGAUGUUGCAUGACAUUUGCUUAAAAGGUGCAAUUGCAUCACUACCAGAUGGACCUGCGUUGUAUUAGCUAGUUGGUGGGGUAACGGCUCACCAAGGCGACGAUACAUAGCCGACCUGAGAGGGUGAGCGGCCACACUGGGACGGAGACACGGCCCAGACUCCUACAGGAGGCAGCAGUAGGGAAUCUUCGGCAAUGGACGGAAGGCUGACCGAGAAACGCCGCGGGAGUGAAGAAGGGUUUCGGAUCGUAAAGCUCUGUUGUAAGAGGAGAACGAGUGUGAGAGUGGAAAGUUCACACUGUGACGGUAGCUUAACAGAAAGGGACGGCUAACUACGUG
This 495-nucleotide ribosomal RNA is filed under the name uncultured bacterium. RNAcentral describes it as "partial 16S ribosomal RNA". It matches the Rfam family "Bacterial small subunit ribosomal RNA", at positions 28 to 507 of the family's 1533-position model. The record is from RNAcentral.